Molecule: transfer RNA, 72 nt
Organism: Camelus ferus (Wild Bactrian camel)
Lineage: Eukaryota; Metazoa; Chordata; Mammalia; Artiodactyla; Camelidae
Rfam family: tRNA
About the family: Transfer RNA (tRNA) molecules are approximately 80 nucleotides in length. Their secondary structure includes four short double-helical elements and three loops (D, anti-codon, and T loops).
Source: Rfam
GGAGGGUAGAGUCAGUAGUAGAGUGCAUGACUAGCAUGCAUGAGGUCCUGGGUUCAAUCCCCAGUACCUCCA